Molecule: ribosomal RNA, 495 nt
Filed under: uncultured bacterium
Lineage: Bacteria
Description: partial 16S ribosomal RNA
Rfam family: Bacterial small subunit ribosomal RNA
Source: RNAcentral
GACGAACGCUGGCGGCGUGCCUAAUACAUGCAAGUAGAACGCUGAAGGAGGAGCUUGCUUCUCUGGAUGAGUUGCGAACGGGUGAGUAACGCGUAGGUAACCUGCCUGGUAGCGGGGGAUAACUAUUGGAAACGAUAGCUAAUACCGCAUAACAGUAGAUAUCGCAUGAUAUCUACUUGAAAGGUGCAAUUGCAUCACUACCAGAUGGACCUGCGUUGUAUUAGCUAGUUGGUGAGGUAACGGCUCACCAAGGCGACGAUACAUAGCCGACCUGAGAGGGGGAUCGGCCCACCUGGGAAUGAGACACGGCCCAGACUCCUACGGGAGGCAGCAGUAGGGAAUCUUCGGCAAUGGACGGAAGUCUGACCGAGCAACGCCGCGUGAGUGAAGAAGGUUUUCGGAUCGGAAAGCUCUGUUGUAAGGGAAGAACGAGUGUGAGAGUGGAAAGUUCACACUGUGACGGUAUCUUACCAGAAAGGGACGGCUAACUACGUG